This is a non-coding RNA of Pelobates cultripes (western spadefoot toad), 283 nucleotides long. The record is from the annotation of a GenBank genome assembly. Lineage: Eukaryota; Metazoa; Chordata; Amphibia; Anura; Pelobatidae.
AGUCGACUUAGUAGAGGGUGCUUUCAAGAAAGCAAUUGAAACACCAAGAGAAGAUACAUUAAUGAAGAAAAACAAAGAACCACAACAGAAUAUGGAGAUUCCAGCAUUUAUUACUCAGUAUAGUAAUCAGUCUUUUAAAUUGAGCAAGAUCCUCAAGAAACACUGGAACAUGCUUAAAGGUGACCCUCUACUAGACCAGAUCCUGAGAAAAUAAAACAGUCCGGAUCAACAUUAAUGGGAUUUCAUAAAUGUGGGAAAUGCAUGGGAUGCAAAAACAAUACAA